AAGGGGGAGCGACUCACCUGUAGAUGGCUCUUGACGUGUGCCAAGGAUAGACAAACAAAACAUGAGCCUUUUAUCAUCACCCAGGCAGUGAAUGACUAGACUCCAGAAUUGAGACCAGGAAACUCAGACAAAAAACAAAAGUGACCGGCAAUCGAUCGAAACUGA
Selaginella moellendorffii is the source of this 165-nucleotide long non-coding RNA. RefSeq lists it as uncharacterized. The transcript is spliced from 2 exons. The record is from RefSeq and is a predicted model, not a curated record. NCBI's taxonomy places the organism in Eukaryota, Viridiplantae, Streptophyta, Lycopodiopsida, Selaginellales, Selaginellaceae.